CCUACGGGGAGCAGCAGUAGGGAAUCUUCCACAAUGGGCGAAAGCCUGAUGGAGCAACGCCGCGUGGGUGAAGAAGGUCUUCGGAUCGUAAAACCCUGUUGUUAGAGAAGAAAGUGCGUGAGAGUAACUGUUCACGUUUCGACGGUAUAUAACCAGAAAGCCACGGCUAACUACGUGCCAGCAGCCGCGGUAAUACGUAGGUGGCAAGCGUUAUCCGGAUUGAUUGGGCGUAAAGGGAACGCAGGCGGUCUUGUAAGUCUGAUGUGAAAGCGUUCGGCUUAACCGGAGUAGUGCAUUGGAAACUGGGAGACUUGAGUGCAGAAGAGGCGAGUGGAACUCCAUGUGUAGCGGUGACAUGCGUAGAUAUAUGGAAGAACACCAGUGGCGAAAGCGGCUCUCUGGUCUGUAACUGACGCUGAGGUUCGAAAGCGUGGGUAGCAAACAGGAUUAGAUACCCUUGUAGUC
RNAcentral lists this ribosomal RNA (465 nucleotides) under uncultured bacterium. RNAcentral describes it as "partial 16S ribosomal RNA". It matches the Rfam family "Bacterial small subunit ribosomal RNA", at positions 338 to 795 of the family's 1533-position model. The record is from RNAcentral.